Molecule: ribosomal RNA, 497 nt
Filed under: uncultured bacterium
Lineage: Bacteria
Description: partial 16S ribosomal RNA
Rfam family: Bacterial small subunit ribosomal RNA
Source: RNAcentral
GAUGAACGCUGGCGGCGUGCCUAAUACAUGCAAGUCGAGCGAACGGACGAGAAGCUUGCUUCUCUGAUGUUAGCGGCGGACGGGUGAGUAACACGUGGAUAACCUACCUAUAAGACUGGGACAACUUCGGGAAACCGGAGCUAAUACCGGAUAAUAUUUUGAACCGCAUGGUUCAAAAGUGAAAGACGGUCUUGCUGUCACUUAUAGAUGGAUCCGCGCUGCAUUAGCUAGUUGGUAAGGUAACGGCUUACCAAGGCAACGAUGCAUGGCCGACCUGAGAGGGUGAUCGGCCACACUGGAACUGAGACACGGUCCAGACUCCUACGGGAGGCAGCAGUAGGGAAUCUUCCGCAAUGGGCGAAAGCCUGACGGAGCAACGCCGCGUGAGUGAUGAAGGUCUUCGGAUCGUAAAACUCUGUUAUUAGGGAAGAACAUAUGUGUAAGUAACUGUGCACAUCUUGACGGUACCUAAUCAGAAAGCCACGGCUAACUACGUG